RNAcentral lists this ribosomal RNA (449 nucleotides) under uncultured bacterium. RNAcentral describes it as "bacterial SSU rRNA". It matches the Rfam family "Bacterial small subunit ribosomal RNA", at positions 29 to 524 of the family's 1533-position model. The record is from RNAcentral.
AACGAACGCUGGCGGCAGGCCUAACACAUGCAAGUCGAACGCCGUAGCAAUACGGAGUGGCAGACGGGUGAGUAACGCGUGGGAACGUGCCCUUCAGUUCGGGAUAACCCAGGGAAACUUGGACUAAUACCGGAUACGUGCGAGAGCAGAAAGAUUUAUCGCUGAAGGAUCGGCCCGCGUCCGAUUAGCUAGUUGGUGAGGUAAUGGCUCACCAAGGCGACGAUCGGUAGCUGGCUGAGAGGAUGAUCAGCCACACUGGGACUGAGACACGGCCCAGACUCCUACGGGAGGCAGCAGUGGGGAAUAUUGGACAAUGGGCGCAAGCCUGAUCCAGCCAUGCCGCGUGAGUGAUGAAGGCCCUAGGGUUGUAAAGCUCUUUCGCCAGGGACGAUAAUGACGGUACCUGGAUAAGAAGCCCCGGCUAACUUCGUGCCAGCAGCCGCGGUAAU